This 403-nucleotide ribosomal RNA is filed under the name Tremella lobariacearum. RNAcentral's name for it is "eukaryotic LSU rRNA". It matches the Rfam family "Eukaryotic large subunit ribosomal RNA", at positions 1 to 397 of the family's 3401-position model. The record is from RNAcentral. Lineage: Eukaryota; Fungi; Basidiomycota; Tremellomycetes; Tremellales; Tremellaceae.
AAUCUGACCUCAAAUCAGGUAGGGCUACCCGCUGAACUUAAGCAUAUCAAUAAGCGGAGGAAAGGAAACUAACAAGGAUUCCCUUAGUAACGGCGAGUGAACCGGGAAGAGCUCAAAUUUGUAAUCUGGCGUGCUCUGUGCGUCCGAGUUGUAAUCUAUAGAAGUGUUUUCCGCGCCGGAUCGUGUCCAAGUUCCUUGGAAUAGGAUAUCAUAGAGGGUGACAAUCCCGUCCUUGACACGACUACCGGUGCUCUGUGAUACACCUUCUACGAGUCGAGUUGUUUGGGAAUGCAGCUCAAAAUGGGUGGUGAGUUCCAUCUAAAGCUAAAUAUUGGCGAGAGACCGAUAGCGAACAAGUACCGUGAGGGAAAGAUGAAAAGCACUUGAAAGAGAGUAAACAGUA